AGAAGCAUAGCUUAGUUGGUAGAGCAACGGUCUCCAAAACCGUGUGUCAGAGGUUCAAGUCCUCUUGCUUCUG
RNAcentral lists this transfer RNA (73 nucleotides) under Bacteriophage sp. RNAcentral describes it as "tRNA-Trp". It matches the Rfam family "tRNA". Rfam says of the family: Transfer RNA (tRNA) molecules are approximately 80 nucleotides in length. Their secondary structure includes four short double-helical elements and three loops (D, anti-codon, and T loops). The record is from RNAcentral.